UCCACAAAUACAGCGUGGAGACGGUUC
Molecule: non-coding RNA, 27 nt
Filed under: Rattus norvegicus (Norway rat)
Lineage: Eukaryota; Metazoa; Chordata; Mammalia; Rodentia; Muridae
Source: RNAcentral